UCGGUGCAUGCAAAAAUAAUUUGCCACUGUUCGAGGCACUGAUAACGCAAAACAGCGUUCACCAGCAUUUGGCGUGUGCGUGAAACCGAGUUAAAUCGAACGGGAGGAGCGUUUAUUCCGUCGUACUUAAGUCAUACCGUGCCGUCGAGUUGAGUCAGUUGCUAGCUGACCUGCGAGUGCGUGGAAUACAUACAACGUGGAGGUAAACUGGUUCGAAACAACUAGAUUCCAGCUCCUUGACAAUCAUCUCGGCAAUCUACCUGAUUGCUUCGAACUUAUAAUUCUUUUGUGCUAAAUAUUUUACCUUGAGACGCGAGACGGCGUCGUCUAGAGUCGG
Long non-coding RNA from Dalotia coriaria, 337 nucleotides. RefSeq lists it as uncharacterized. The transcript has 2 exons. NCBI's taxonomy places the organism in Eukaryota, Metazoa, Arthropoda, Insecta, Coleoptera, Staphylinidae. The record is from RefSeq and is a predicted model, not a curated record.